RNAcentral lists this ribosomal RNA (173 nucleotides) under uncultured bacterium. Its description in RNAcentral is "partial 16S ribosomal RNA". It matches the Rfam family "Bacterial small subunit ribosomal RNA", at positions 183 to 353 of the family's 1533-position model. The record is from RNAcentral.
GUAUCGCAUGAUAUAGCAAUUAAAGGAGCAAUUCGCUAUAAGAUGGACCCGCGUCGCAUUAGCUAGUUGGUGAGGUAAUGGCUCACCAAGGCGACGAUGCGUAGCCGACCUGAGAGGGUGAUCGGCCACAUUGGGACUGAGACACGGCCCAGACUCCUACGGGAGGCAGCAUG